Molecule: long non-coding RNA, 3557 nt
Organism: Ostrea edulis (European flat oyster)
Lineage: Eukaryota; Metazoa; Mollusca; Bivalvia; Ostreida; Ostreidae
Exons: 3
Source: RefSeq, a predicted model, not a curated record
ACAUGUGAUGUGUCGCAGCGAAUAGGAAUGGUCUGAUCAGAGCACCAGACCUUGGCCUGAUCAGAACAGCAGAGCUGUGACCUUGGCCUGAUCAGAGCAGCAGAACUGUGACCAUGGCCCGAUCAGAACAGCAAUUUUGUGACCUUGGCCUGAUCAGAACACAAGAGAUGUGACCUUGGCCUGAUUAUGACAUUAGACAUGUAACAUGUUGAACACCAGAGCUGUGACCUUGACCUGAUUAUGACAUUAGACAUGUAACAUGUUGAACACCAGAGCUGUUACCUUGACCAAUCUACUAGGGGAUGUAACGUGUUGUGCUAAUAAACCUUCUGUUGUGAUGAUCAACCUUCUGUUGUGAUGAUCAACCUUUUGUUAGUUUUCUACCUACUCGUAUCUAUUCUUUUUCUAUUUUAUGUUUCAGUCACUUGUCAAGAGAAGAAGAUUUGUUUAGUUCAUAUGAAAGCAUCUUUACAGAUUGUAGCCUUCGGAAGCAGUUUGAUCUAAAUUUCGAUGUUCGAAUAGAUAGAAAAAAUCUUAAUAAUUUUGUCAAGAGCGUUACCAGGCUACAAUUUAUCAAGUGAAUGAAAGGUGAAGAAAAAGAACAGUGAUCAAUCUCAUAACUCCUAUAAGCAAUACAAAAUAUAGAUUUGGGCAAACACGGACCCUUCGAUAUACCAUAUGUGGGAUCAGGUACAUAGGAGGAGUAAGCAUCCUCUGUCGACCGGUCACACCCACCGUGAGCCCUAUAUCUUGAUCAGGUGAACGGAGUAAUCCGUAGUUAAAAAGUCAGUGUGCUAAGAACGACCUAACAAUAGGUAUGAAACACUUUAGACAACAUCUGACCUAAUUAUGAGUUGUAUUGGCAACUAGAUCAUUAUAACGACCAUAUAAUUUGCGAAAUGCUGACUUUAUACGAGACUGUUGUAACCCCUGUAACAUCAACUUGUUUGUCAGUAGCCAACCUCAAUGUAAGACCAUUACCAUUACGGGCGCCACCAUGAUUUGAUAACAUAAUAACUACACACGCAAUAUCUUAACAAACCAUUGCUAUUGAAUAUUCCCAAAGAUUCCAGCAAGUAAUCAUUUGUGCAUGUUCUUAGUCCAGUCUGCAACCCGGGAUAAUUCAAUCUGAACAAAAACUACCUAUAUUCUACCUAUAGAUGACUGGGUAUAACACACGCAACAUUCAAUUUUCGGCAAUAUUUUGUACAUAUCGUUUAAUUGUUUACAUCUACCACAUGUAGAAGAUACACAUCUAUUGUAUUGAAGAACAGCGAAUAUAGACCUGUAUAAAAAAAACUGUCAAGACUGAGCAGGUGGUAACCAAUGAAAUGUCUACUACAGUAACAAAUAUCCCCAUUUAGCAUUUGUUGCUGCUCGAAUUCUGCAUGCAUAGAGUUCAUUACAUGGUUUAUUUGUGCUACAGGGAUGGCCUACCACUCUUCCAGAAAUGUCUGACUUGUCUAGACCGUGCAUGAUUCCGGCACGUUCUAAAGAGUCGAUCUAAAAUGUCCCACUCGGGCUCUAUUUGCGAAAGACUGCGACUGUAUUUGGACCAAGGAAACAUGUGGGCAUUGUUUUGGUAAAGAUAGCCCAUUGCACGUUGCGCCACAUGAGAGUCGGGUUUUGGCAAAAGAUGGCAAGUUCUUCAAAUUUUUUUUAACUUCUUGUUGCAUAUACAAUGAUAUCAACUUAAACAAAUUCCACUGUUUUCUCUCUCUAGACUAUGCAGAUCAGCCAUCAUUGUGCUUAGUCCGAAAUUCGUUUUCAAAAGAGACAUUUCAUUGGACAGUUUAUUUUUAGCAUUUUACUCAUUACAAAUCUUGUGUCCAAAAUUUUAAUAGCUACAUUCGUCAAGGGUUAUGUGGAGGGUACUUAAUCACAAAAUCUUGACUUGUGAGGUUGAUGAUGAUCCAGCGGGUAUUGCGUCCACUGCAAAUCCCGCCCAUAAUGCUACUGUUGUGUAAUACAUUGUACUUAGUGACACUUGUGACUUCUAGACGUUCUAUUUUUAGAGCAAUGUUUGUCAGAGUUCAAUAUAGAGAUGAUGUAAUACCCAUUUCCCUGUGUCGUAAAAAGAAAGAUUCUGGAAGUUUCGUUUCAGUAUAAAUAGACUGUAAGUUUUCUGGCAAUAAGUACUUUACAUAAUUACAUUUAGACUAUAUCUGGGGAUUAGUUUUGACUUAACGGUCGAGUUGUGACAGCAUGAAGUCUAGAGUAGGAAUUCACCUCGGCAGUAAACAAACAUUAGACAACUUUGAUUAGACCUACUAUACAGUAACUUUUUUAUUGAUACAUGUAUAUUUUUCUGCAAAUCAGUGUAAAUAAAUUGUGGGGGACAUUCCCACCGUCAACACAGCGCGGCUUGAUACCAUUGAAGCGGAGACGCCACAGCAAACCAUCUCUGCCUGUUCUUGGAUUUAUACCCAACGUGUCCCAAAUGCAUUUCUGGUGCAAUUCUAAACCGGUUACACAAGUGCUGCAACCUAAUGAAUCGAUUCUUACAAGGCGUCGUAACCUUUGGUAAGCAGUUGUACUAGUCAGCGUUUGUAGAGACGAAGUCGUGUGCUUUUGUGGACGUUCAGUGCUCUUGCCACAGCAUUGUGAGUGUGUUCAGCCAACAGUAGUAUUGCACUGUCAUGUAACGCGCAUCGAUAGGUAGCCUAGACGUCCUUUUCGCGAUAUGAGAAAUGAAUUUCAAUAGCUGGCUAUUUUUCCCAGACGUCUUUUAAAGGAUGCAAAACAGCUCUGAGACGCAUAUAAUGCCGUGGUGUAUAUCUGUGGACGUGAUAAUCGGGGUAUCACGUGAUAAUCAGGAAACCCUGAUAAUAUGAUACUGACACGUAGGCCUAUAACUGGUAUAAAAACAGAAGCCGCAGUCCUCCUUUAGCAUUCAGUCCGGAUGCCUUGAAGAAAUGGAUUCAGAUGAUUGAAAAGUACAUGAGUUUGCGCCCCAGUAGUGGAAAAUGCAAUGCAUUAUAGCUCGGACCAAAAAUCGCUCCUAAGGGGAAUGUAUGGUACGACGACGUCCCAGUCGGGGUACAUCAACUGCAACAGAUUGUGGCCAAAAUGUGUAGAGAGGCAGGAUUAGAUGGGGUUUUUACAAAUCACUCUCUUCGAGCUACUGCCGCCACACGCCCAUAUGCUGCGGGUGUUGACGAACAACUAAAAGCGGGGAAAAACUGGUCACAGGUCAUCUGCGAUUCGCAACUACAAACGCACCUCCGAGGAACAAUUACACGAGUGUAAGGGAUUUGAUUCAGAAACCGUCCAGUGUCCCCACCGGAACCGAAGAAAGUGAAGCUCAAUGAAAGUUUCCUUUGGAUCGAGAAAAGAAAUAAACAUCACUGCCGGGGAUGUAACAGUGAAUUUGCGACUUCAAUGUGCAUAUAUUUAAAUGAAUAAUUGUGACAUGGAUUUAUAACUGUGGUGCCUAAACGAUUUCAUAUACAGUAAAAUCGGAUUAUACACGAAACACUCAUUUCGUAUAAUUUACUGGAAUAUUUCACGCCUUGAAUAUUGUAUUUGAUAAAUAAUGAAUAUGUUUUCUCGCACAA